UACGUAGGGGCGAGCGUUGUCCGGAAUGAUUGGGCGUAAAGGGCGCGUAGGCGGCUGUGUAAGUCAGUAGUGGAAGUCCAGCUUUUAAGGUUGGAAGUGCUAUUGAAACUGUGCAGCUUGAGUGCAGGAGAGGAGAGUGGAAUUCCUAGUGUAGCGGUGAAAUGCGUAGAUAUUAGGAGGAACACCAGUGGCGAAGGCGACUCUCUGGACUGCAACUGACGCUGAGGCACGAAAGCGUGGGUAGCGAACAGGAUUAGA
RNAcentral lists this ribosomal RNA (258 nucleotides) under uncultured prokaryote. RNAcentral's name for it is "partial 16S ribosomal RNA". It matches the Rfam family "Bacterial small subunit ribosomal RNA", at positions 524 to 782 of the family's 1533-position model. The record is from RNAcentral.